UCUAGUCUCUUAUCAUCUCGAAAUGUAAGAAUUUCCCUAUACAGACGACCUGUAAAUGUUUUUCGAGUAUCUUCAUUCUUCCCUCAUCCUACUGAUGUUUUAGAGAGGAAGAUACUCAGCAAAACAUUUACUGGUUACUUGUAUAGAAUCAAUAUAUGUAGUCCGUCACAACUCAAGCACAAUUUCAUCCUCUCCAGAUCCAUAAAGUACCAAAUCGAUCGUAUAGCUCAAUCGCCGUUUUUCAGUCUCUAAAAUUUCUCCUAGUUGUCAAAAGUUCGUACAGGUGACUUGUAAAUGUUUUGCGACCUUCUAAUAUGAUACUGGCAAAACAUUUACACGUACCUUGUAUGAACUUUUGAUUCUAGCUUUGCUGAAGCCUUUUGAUGGAGUACUGCUUUAACUCAAGUGGCCAAUCUAAAAGGCUGUGAUAUUCACAGUCGGUGAGUUUAAAAAACACAUUAAUUGGUAUAAUGUUUCCAUUGGUAUGUUUAGAACACUUCCAAAUGAGUUAAUUAAACAAAAUCAGCACUAACUCAACUGAUUUUUUUGAGCUAACAUGAGGGGAAAAUUUAAUAAUUAAUUGUUAUUUUGAUGUUAGACAGAGACGUCCUAUGCUUUAAUAGGAGUUAGCAAAUCUCUUGGGAUCCAUAGCGAAAGUAGAGCACAAUGGAAGAGAAAGAUCUAGAUAGGUGGUACGUAUUAGUUGAGAAUAUGUUUUAGUCAAUUGAGCACUUUUACUUUACAUCCUAUGCUUUUCUUGUAGUUGUUUAGCCUUUUAGAGAUUUAUGCAUCAAUUAAAAAUUUAAAGAAUCUUUAAUACUUAUUACAUUAUUUUUUGUUUUGUAUAAUAUUGGCUUGAGAUGAGUUUAUAUGGUGUAACAUGGUCAGUAAGUAUUCGUAUAGCUUACAUCCUGCUAUGGAUAGAAACUGAUGACAUUCAAAAUAAUUAUUGGUAUCUGGGGCAUGGGAGGAAUAGGGAAGACGGCAGUUGCACGAGCCAUUUUUUAUGAGCUCUCUAAUUAUUUUGAAGCUUCUUGUUUCCGUGGAGAUGUAAAAGAAUACAAGCAUAGAGUGCACUCGUUGCAAAUUACCCUUCUUUGUAAACUGUUUAGGGAGAAAGAUGAAUGUCAGUAAGGAAGUGCAUGAUAGCAAGUAGACUUCCUUUUAAGAAGGUUCCUAUUUGUGCCUGAUGACAUAGAUCACACACACCAAUUGGAUUACUUAGCAUGGGAUCUUGGUUGGUUUGGUAAACCCAGUAGAAUGCAUGAUUUGAUACAUGAUAUGGGUAAAUAUGUGGUGAAUAUGCAAAAGAUCCUGAACGUAGCAGUAUGGCGCAUUGAAGAUUUAGAAGAAGUGAUGAUCCACAAUAUGGUAAGUAGGCACAAUGCUAUAUUAUUCAAUUCUAAGUUGUUUAACAAUCCAAAGGUAUAUAAAACACAUUUCAAUGAUCCGUUCCUCUAGUUUCACGCUCUUGUCAUGAAUCAUUUUGGUUUACUUUAAUAGGAGAAGCAAAAGCAAAAUUCAUUGCCUGUUGCUUAUUUCAUUUUUUACAUUUUUUUAAUCCAUGAUUUGGACAAGUUUCUACUUGUUUUAUUCCAUUUCAUUCUUUGAAUUUACCUCACAUUUGUAUGACAUUUUGUACAUAAUCAUUCAUUCAUAUAUUCUAUCAUUGAAUUAGAACGAAAGUACAUGACAAAUUUAUAGGUCAUGUCUUAAUUAGGAAUUCCUUCUAUCAAUAACAACAACAACAACAAACCUAGUAUAUUCCCACAUGUGGGGUCUGGGGAGGGUAGUGUGUAUGCAAACCUUACCCCUACCUAGUGAAGGUAGAGAGGCAAAUUCCUUCUAUCACUUAAUAAAAAAACUUAAAAGACUGAGACUCUAAAGAACCUCUGAGAAAAUGUUCUUUAGAAAAUAGAAUUGUGCAAUUAAUUGCUUGCGAAAUAGUUCAUUUGUUGAGCAACAUUUUUCUUAAAAAAGGACCUAACCAAUACGGUACCUUAAAUUUUCCAAUGGCGCUCCUCGAGAAACUGCUCGUGCAAUAGUAAGGUUUAACCUUGAUAUUAUAGGGUAGAAAUAUAACUAAAAGAAAGUAAAAAGGAAUUUGGCAUCGCGAGGAGUGAAAGUACUUAUUUUUGUAGAGGGAUCCUUGUACUGCAUUUGAUAUUAUACUUUGUUAUCUUUUAAGCAGGGGGCCAAAGCAAUGGAGGCAAUCUGGAUUCGUUGUCCCCCAAAACCUAUUCUUUAGCAAAGGGCCAUGAAAAUUUUAUGAACUCAUCAUGGAUCAAACAGAUGUUACACAUAGAUAAUGUGAUGAUCCUUUUUGAUCCAUGAUGACUGACAGAUAAUGUGAUGGAUGUUGUGAGUUGCCUUGAUGGCUCUGUUGAUUAUUUGUCCAACAACUUGUGUUGGUUUGAUCGCUAUCCUUCGAAAUCACGUCCAUCUAAUUUUGAACCCAAUAGACUUGUUCAUCUUCGACUCACACGGAGUUCACUAUGUCAAUUAUGGAGAGGAACAAAGGAGAUUGCUUUGUUAAGUUAGUUUCAGCACCAAAACACAGUACGGUAUUAUGUCACACCAGGUCUUAAUUUAUGCAGUUCCAAAUAUGAGAAUGGCUACCACGACACACCAUGAGUAUAUUCUUAAACCUUCUUGGUUUAUAGUGUGUUGUGUCUUAUAGCUUGAAGGAAGUGUCUAUUAGCUGGAGCUAUUGGGGAGUGCUGAAAAAUCCAGUAAUCGAAGACCAAAUUCAAUAGCAGCUUCUGCACCCACUGAUUUUUGCACCUUCUAACAUCUCGAGCUUGAUAUUGUACUUUAAUCUCAAUUAGAUGGCUAUAACAGUCUGUCCCAUGCUGUGAUGUGAAUGAAUUAUGUAAAUUACUUUUUGCAAUUUGUUGAUACUUGAAGUUUUACCCAGGAGCCAAAUAUGUCUUCGUGCAACUUCAUACAUCCACUGUAUGCAGCAAAUCAAUAAAAUCCUUGAUUGUUUUUA
This is a long non-coding RNA of Nicotiana tabacum (common tobacco), 2992 nucleotides long. RefSeq lists it as uncharacterized. The record is from RefSeq and is a predicted model, not a curated record. NCBI's taxonomy places the organism in Eukaryota, Viridiplantae, Streptophyta, Magnoliopsida, Solanales, Solanaceae.